Molecule: transfer RNA, 74 nt
Filed under: Gloeophyllum trabeum ATCC 11539
Lineage: Eukaryota; Fungi; Basidiomycota; Agaricomycetes; Gloeophyllales; Gloeophyllaceae
Description: tRNA-Gln (CTG) (tRNA-Gln-CTG-3-1)
Rfam family: tRNA
About the family: Transfer RNA (tRNA) molecules are approximately 80 nucleotides in length. Their secondary structure includes four short double-helical elements and three loops (D, anti-codon, and T loops).
Source: RNAcentral
GGCCUUGUAGUGUAGCGGUCCUAUCACUCCGGAUUCUGAUUCCGGCAACCCAGGUUCGAGUCCUGGCAAGGCCU